Molecule: long non-coding RNA, 466 nt
Filed under: Anser brachyrhynchus (Pink-footed goose)
Lineage: Eukaryota; Metazoa; Chordata; Aves; Anseriformes; Anatidae
Description: lncRNA (ENSABRG00000009120.1)
Source: RNAcentral
AUGCCAUCAAGCACUCCCAGCGUUACUAGUCUUGCAACUUCUACCAAGCUAGUUACCCGUGCCAUGCAGGAACCACAAGUGUCUUCUCAGCCUGAGCGUCCCAACACAUUAUCUUCUCUAGUAGGGCAAAAGAGUACACCAGCAUCCAGCUAUCCUCAGACAGCAACGGCAUGUUCUACACCUGUCCUUAAUUGUGAAACAAUAGAAAAUAAGAUAAGAAAGGAUAUCCAACGUUCCUGGAGAAGCAUAAUGAAACUGCAAAGAGAAGGAUGUCGGCAAGCUAGGAGAAAUCCCAGUGUCAGACUUCCUCGAUAUAGCAGAGAUGUUCCACUGGCGUUUAAGUAAAGAGGAAAUUAACCAAAUAACAACAAAAUAUGACUUCAAGAAGAAUGGAAAAUUUGCAUACCGUGACUUCCUUCAGAGUUGUAUCUUGUUAAAACCACAGAAAAGCUCACUGCUACAAAGG